AGUCUAUGUACACACAGAAAAGUGUGAAGUUUUAGUCCCUCCUUGUCUCACAAUGAUAAAUACGUGAUGUUUUACAAAAGAUGAAUAAUAAAAAGAAGAAAUUCGCCAGCAAAACUGAAAGCGCAACAAAGAAAGUGAUAAACUAGAAGUAGAGGUAGAAUUGAACAUAAAUGGAGUUAUAAAAGAAAUAAAUGACCAUAAAAAUGUUGACACUGCUGUCAUUGGAGAAAUUCUAGAUAAGUAGCCAGAAGGAACUUAGUAAAAGUCUACUUAAUGGUGUAAAUAAGGAAAGUGGUUCUGACGAAAAGAAUGAAGAUGUCCUUGAGGAAGCGCUGCCAGGAAUAAACUCAGCAUUAAAAGAAUUCUCAGAGACAUUUUACAGCAUUGAAAGUGCAAAGGGUAAAAUAAUGUAAACGGAUCCAAACUUAAGAAGGAAUAUGACAAGUUGCCAAGAUAUAGAAGUGAAGCUUGCUUCCUAUCAUAAGAUAUACCAUGAGAAGAAGAGCCAGACCUUGAUUUCAUGCGAGAAGGUGGAGUAGGAGGAAGAGAAGGAGGAGAGUUAGAAGGAGUAGGAGGAGGAGGAAAACCUCCUGCAGGCUCGUCUGAGUAUAUUCCUAGGUGAUGGCAGAGGGGCAAGAAAGCAAGCAAAAAGAAGCACAGAAGCCCUCUCAUGGCCAAAACUGGCUUGGUGUCACUUUUACCUCAUUCUAUUGGUCAAAAAAAGUCAACAGGCUGAGCCCAGAGUCAGAGUGGGAGAGUACUGCAUGGUUACAUGACAGAGGAUGUGGAUAUGAGGAAUCGUGAAGAACUGCAUCCAUUAGAGCCAUCUGUCACAGAAGGGACUAUUGUCAUUUUACUAAUUUUGUACAUGAGGAUAGGGAAGCAUGGAGAUGGUAACAUGCCUAAAGUCACAUAGCUUCUUAGCUGUGGAACCAGAAAGUAAACCUGGGCCUUCUGGGCCCAGGGCCCGUGGCUGUUAAAACCACUGUGCACACUGCCUUACUCCUACCCUUCACAAUCAGGUUUCUGCUCUGACCACCCUAGAAAACAUGCCCGUCUCAGGUUACCGAUGCUCUCCUAUGGACAGAUCCAAUAGCCUUUGUUAAUUGUCCACAUCUCUAUCCAUUCUGUAAUACUCCUGCAUGCUGCAUCCUUGGAGUUCUUUUCUCCUUUGAUUCUGCAGAACCUGUACUGUUUUGUUUCUCUUUCUGGCUUCCUCUGUCUGUCUCUCUUCACCAACUACAUAAUGCAUUCACUUCUUUUUCUUGGCAUCUCCCUUUCCAAGCACACCCACUCUCCUGGUUUCCAUUAUCUCCCUGCAGACAACUCUCAACUGGCUCUAAGAAAGCUCACUAUAAUUUUCAGCAACCUAAUUCAGUCGUUUGUCCGUCACAAAUAACAGCUCAGGAAAAUCAAAGGAUUUUCUCACUAGCAUCUUAUCAUUCCAUGUCACCUAGCAACUAUCCCAGUGCUUGAUAUUCUGCUACUAGAAACUCCCUACUACACAGAUAAUACCACUGGAAGGUAUAAAGCCACUUGACUGACCUCUCUCCAUUCACAGCAUUUAUAACUGUAAGAAAUUGCCAGUGGUUGACUCUUUCCGACCUUCGAAAGUGGCAAUUUCAUGUGGUUCAGCUUAAUAGUAUUUAUUACCUUGUGCUGUAAUAAUUUUGUAUCUGUAUCUCCCAUGAGACUCAAAGCUGCUUGAUUGAGGAGAUCAUGCUUGCUUCUGCUUUUCAUCAAGUUGCCUAGUACAUGACACUCUGUAAGGAUUAGACCAAGUAGGUAUUGAAUAAUUGUUUGGCGAAUUUAAAAAAUUAAAGAAACAUUUGAAAUCAAUGCACCAGAGGCUAGAGACAGAGUGCUAGGAAGGGAACAGGAUGGGGACAGGGACACCAGAGCAAAGAUAGAGUCAAAGACACAUUUCCAAAAUGGCAAUUCAUGCCUUGUGUCAGUUGUACCCACCUCACAUUCUUUAACACUUAAGGUUUUUCUGGGUAGUAAGUGCAAUACAUUCUUAUUAUAAAACAAUAUAGACAGUUCAGUAUGUAUAAAUGAGGAUAAAAUCAAAAUCACCCACAAUCUCACCACUUUGUGAUAAUAACCAUUAACUUCAAUAUUGAUGAAUUUCCUUGAAUGUUUUAUCUACAAUAUUUCUUUCAUAUAGUUGAUAUCACUCUGUAUGCACAAACUUGUAUCCUUUUUCUAAAUCUUAAUAUCAUAAUAUUAGCAUUUUCUAAUGUUAGUAGAUGUACUUCUUAAAUAUUGCUUUUUAAUGAUAAAGGUUUUUUUUUUUUUUUUU
RNAcentral lists this long non-coding RNA (2302 nucleotides) under Homo sapiens (human). Its description in RNAcentral is "non-protein coding lnc-POLE4-15:11". The record is from RNAcentral. Lineage: Eukaryota; Metazoa; Chordata; Mammalia; Primates; Hominidae.